Molecule: ribosomal RNA, 484 nt
Filed under: uncultured bacterium
Lineage: Bacteria
Description: partial 16S ribosomal RNA
Rfam family: Bacterial small subunit ribosomal RNA
Source: RNAcentral
AUUGAACGCUGGCGGCAGGCCUAACACAUGCAAGUCGAGCGGAUGAAGGGAGCUUGCUCCUGGAUUCAGCGGCGGACGGGUGAGUAAUUCCUAGGAAUCUCCCUGGCUGUUGGUUAUAACGUCCGGAAACGGGCGCUAAUACCGCAUACGUCCUGAGGGAGAAAGUGUGGGAUCUUCGGACCUCACGCUAUUAGAUGAUCCUAGGUCGGAUUAGCUAGUUGGUGGGUUAAAGGCCUACAAAGGCGACGAUCCGUAACUGGUCUGAGAGGAUGAUCAGUCACACGGGAACUGAGACACGGUCCAGACUCCUACGGGAGGCAGCAGUGGGGAAUAUUGGACAAUGGGCGGAAGCCUGAUCCAGCCAUGCCGCGUGUGUGAAGAAGGUCUUCGGAUUGUAAAGCACUUUUAGUUGGAAGGAAAAGCAGUAGGUUAAUACCUUGCUGUUUUGACGUUACCAACAGAAUAAGCACCGGCUAACUUCGUG